Molecule: long non-coding RNA, 885 nt
Organism: Perca fluviatilis (European perch)
Lineage: Eukaryota; Metazoa; Chordata; Actinopteri; Perciformes; Percidae
Exons: 2
Source: RefSeq, a predicted model, not a curated record
GACUGUGGGUAAAAAGCAGCCCAAAAACAGCCGUUGUAAAAUCCGUUGAGCAAGGGGCGGUUGAGUUAACGUUAAUUUCCCGCACUGUAACAUCCGCGAGAUCAACCCCCUCUAUCCAGCUUUUUUGACAGCCGAAAGAAGUGCCAGAAGAGGUAGUAGGCAGUGGAGGUCUUGGAAAUAGAUUUGAAACAAACCACACAUUGACUGGCACAGGAAGUGUAUGAGGACCUUUUGCACAAAUGGACUUUGGAGUCACAUCAAUUUUUUGUCAUCAGAUGUUGCCCCAGUGUAAACACCAUUUUUCUUUCCCAGAACUGUCAUUACAGAGUUGCAUUUCAGCCUUUGGACAGGGAGUCCGCAGAAGGACCAGACUAAGCACACUGUAGCUCUCUGAAAAGGCUUGCUCGACAGGCAGAGAAUAGGUGGAGAGAUUUUAAGGGAACCGAAGACAUGAGACAUGUAAACAGGGUCUUAGAACCUUAAAGUCUCUGUCCUGUCAACAAACAACAGACCUAGAUCUGACCCAUCACAAUUUCACUGAAACGAAUAAGCUAAACAAAAUAUAGACCUGCGGGGUACAAAAAUGUUUACUUUGCUGAAUGUCCCACAGCAGGGGUUUAUUGAAAGAAGAUAAACUGUUACCAAGCUGGCUCAUUGUUUUUUUUUAUCAAUAUCAAUUAUAAUCAAUAGAUUUUUAUGAUAAUGCUCUACCAUUAGGACUUAGGAUAAAUGAGGAAAUCCUGUCUGCCUCUGUUCAUAUGGAUGCCCUAAUCCUUCUCCUGUGGAAGAAAAAAAAGAGACUGGACUUUCAAAUGACUGCCCUGCCACUGAUUCCCAGUAAAUUGAUUUUUUCCUGCCUAAUACAUAUUAAAAAAAUACAACACA